AUGCAUGGUCUGGAAUUACUUAAAAAUGGCGUCUUUUGGCGGGUGGGUGAUGGAUCUAGUAUUAAUAUUUGGAGGGACAAUUGGUUAUCCAGGAGCACUGGACUUAAAAUCUCAGCUGAAAGGCAUAAUACUAGAUUGAGAUGGGUCUCUGAUUUGUUCUUGAGCGGGAGAAAGGUAUGGGAUGAAAAUUUGAUUAAGUACCUUUUCUAUCCCCAUGACGCAGAGGAGAUUCUUAAGAUUCGUAUUCAUGCUUAUGGGGAUGGGGAUUUUAUUGCGUGGCACUAUGAGAAGAACGGUAUAUUUUCUGUUAAAAGUGCGUACAAUUUAGCGAUUAAGUUGAAGGAUAGUCAAGAUAAAUUGGGUCAAUCUAGUGGAGAUCCAUGUGGAGAAAGAAGGCUCUGGGAUUUAAUUUGGAAGGCUAAUAUCCCUUAG
This 432-nucleotide ribosomal RNA is filed under the name Triticum aestivum (bread wheat). RNAcentral describes it as "partial small subunit ribosomal RNA". The record is from RNAcentral. Lineage: Eukaryota; Viridiplantae; Streptophyta; Magnoliopsida; Poales; Poaceae.